Molecule: ribosomal RNA, 1355 nt
Filed under: Mycobacterium sp. DWMJ-401B1
Lineage: Bacteria; Bacillati; Actinomycetota; Actinomycetes; Mycobacteriales; Mycobacteriaceae
Description: bacterial SSU rRNA
Rfam family: Bacterial small subunit ribosomal RNA
Source: RNAcentral
UUCGGAGGUACUCGAGUGGCGAACGGGUGAGUAACACGUGGGCAAUCUGCCCUGCACUUCGGGAUAAGCCUGGGAAACUGGGUCUAAUAGNCCGGAUAGGACCUCAAGACGCAUGUCUUCUGGUGGAAAGCUUUUGCGGUGUGGGGUGGGCCCGCGGCCUAUCAGCUUGUUGGUGGGGUGACGGCCUACCAAGGCGACGACGGGUAGCCGGCCUGAGAGGGUGUCCGGCCACACUGGGACUGAGAUACGGCCCAGACUCCUACGGGAGGCAGCAGUGGGGAAUAUUGCACAAUGGGCGCAAGCCUGAUGCAGCGACGCCGCGUGGGGGAUGACGGCCUUCGGGUUGUAAACCUCUUUCACCAUCGACGAAGGUCCGGGUUUUCUCGGAUUGACGGUAGGUGGAGAAGAAGCACCGGCCAACUACGUGCCAGCAGCCGCGGUAAUACGUAGGGUGCGAGCGUUGUCCGGAAUUACUGGGCGUAAAGAGCUCGUAGGUGGUUUGUCGCGUUGUUCGUGAAAUCUCACGGCUUAACUGUGAGCGUGCGGGCGAUACGGGCAGACUAGAGUACUGCAGGGGAGACUGGAAUUCCUGGUGUAGCGGUGGAAUGCGCAGAUAUCAGGAGGAACACCGGUGGCGAAGGCGGGUCUCUGGGCAGUAACUGACGCUGAGGAGCGAAAGCGUGGGGAGCGAACAGGAUUAGAUACCCUGGUAGUCCACGCCGUAAACGGUGGGUACUAGGUGUGGGUUUCCUUCCUUGGGAUCCGUGCCGUAGCUAACGCAUUAAGUACCCCGCCUGGGGAGUACGGCCGCAAGGCUAAAACUCAAAGGAAUUGACGGGGGCCCGCACAAGCGGCGGAGCAUGUGGAUUAAUUCGAUGCAACGCGAAGAACCUUACCUGGGUUUGACAUGCACAGGACGCGUCUAGAGAUAGGCGUUCCCUUGUGGCCUGUGUGCAGGUGGUGCAUGGCUGUCGUCAGCUCGUGUCGUGAGAUGUUGGGUUAAGUCCCGCAACGAGCGCAACCCUUGUCUCAUGUUGCCAGCGGGUAAUGCCGGGGACUCGUGAGAGACUGCCGGGGUCAACUCGGAGGAAGGUGGGGAUGACGUCAAGUCAUCAUGCCCCUUAUGUCCAGGGCUUCACACAUGCUACAAUGGCCGGUACAAAGGGCUGCGAUGCCGUAAGGUUAAGCGAAUCCUUUUAAAGCCGGUCUCAGUUCGGAUCGGGGUCUGCAACUCGACCCCAUGAAGUCGGAGUCGCUAGUAAUCGCAGAUCAGCAACGCUGCGGUGAAUACGUUCCCGGGCCUUGUACACACCGCCCGUCACGUCAUGAAAGUCGGUAACACCCGAAGCCAGUGG